RNAcentral lists this long non-coding RNA (495 nucleotides) under Salvia miltiorrhiza (redroot sage). RNAcentral describes it as "long non-coding RNA (SMIL_LNC011746)". The record is from RNAcentral. Lineage: Eukaryota; Viridiplantae; Streptophyta; Magnoliopsida; Lamiales; Lamiaceae.
AGGGCUAAGAUCAGAAAGGUCUUUUUCUUCGGGUUAUAAUGUAGGGACAUUGGUUAAGGUAGGGAAAUAUAGGCUAAGUGACUCAACAUAAUUAAGAACACCAACCUUAUAACUUCACAAAGCAAGUAUGGAAUAAAUUCCAUCUUCCACCAAACUAUGUCACCAUAAUCAACUCCAACCAAGGGAUUUAAUCAUCACAAAACAGAACUAAACACUCUUUUAUGCUCUCCAUUUAUUUCCAACAAACAAAGUCGAUUUUCUAACAAAUUUCUCAAUAAACACUCGACUUUACAUUUUUUUUCUCUUUCUUUUUCUUUUCUUUUUUUUCUCUUUUUUUUUUCUUUUCUCAACAACUUUCUAGAGCUUAUAAGAGUAAAUAGUAAUACAAUAUCAUCCCUUCUUUUUCACAACCCACUAUGAAUAUUCACCACACAAAGAUCCCCAUAUACUUCAUCACCCCUUAUCAUCCGGCUAAAGAAUAAAAGCUAAAUAGGC